RNAcentral lists this unclassified non-coding RNA (1435 nucleotides) under Leishmania donovani. RNAcentral's name for it is "gene:LdHU3.35.7120(CDS-product:hypothetical_prote in_conserved)". The record is from RNAcentral. Lineage: Eukaryota; Euglenozoa; Kinetoplastea; Trypanosomatida; Trypanosomatidae.
CAGAACACACACAAGCGGCAGAGGGGUGGCUUUUCGCGAGCGAUGCGAAGCGGGCGGUGUCGUCUACCGCCUGCUGUUGCAGCUCGCUCGCUCCUGUCACCGUUUGGGAUCGGGGUGUCGAAGAGGAUCGCGCUUGUCGGCAGCGGCAACUCGAUCACAGCGCUGCUAGUGAAGGAGAACGUACCGGCAGGCACGCCGUUGCUCCUCGCGCCGGAUGCUGCGCUGCUCACGUGCCAGGGUGCUCUCGACGCAGACGUGGACGGUCUCGUGCCGCCACCAGCGGAAAUGCUAGAGCUGUUAAAACGUGAUACGGCGCAGCUCGACCGCGUUUACCUAGCGUACUAUCUAUCGCUGCGGUGCUUCACAAAGACGGAGGACUGGUUCUCCGGUCAGAUUCAUCGCUUCAAGGAUGGCGGCUCCACUUCUCAGGAAGAUGCGGCUAGUUCACGCAUCUGGGAACGGUUUGCGCAGAAAUACGUAACCGCCCCUGCUCCAGUCUUCCUGGCCGCCUUGCAGUACGUCUGGGAGAGCUGCUUUUGCAAACCUGCAACGGAGGCAGACUCGUCGUCGGCUCCGCUAACGGCAGCGCUUGCAGUUGCGCCAGUAGUCGACGUUGCUGUGCAAAGCCGCAAUGCCGCGAACUCGGCGCUCACGGCUACCACCGCCAAGGCUCUCAAAGAGACUUACCUGCGCGGCGACAUCACCGGCGCACGGCAAGCUCUGUUGGCUAAAAACGAUGCGUCCGUCUACUGGGUGCUCACUGCCAUCACAGAUAUUGCUGUCGGCGGUGAAGUCUCCGUUUCGUCAGAGUCUGCGCUCUAAUCGCUGCACUUGCUCCGCGCCAUUCAAAAACUGUGUGAACUGAAAGGAUGCGGCACCUCACACCUGUCAUACUUCUCUUUCGCCGCGUGCGCGCGCCCCUGAGGAAGUACGCCCGAAACCGUGGACUGCAGCGUGCACCUCCCUUUUAAGCUUCCACGCCAUUCCCUGCACAAGCCUGCACCUUCCGCCUGCCGUGCUUUUCUCAGCGACCUCUCCCCCUCUCGUCUGCUCUGCUUACGGUGAAAAAAAGUUAGUGCGCUGCGCGAAAGAUUCCGCAUCGCUUCAUAGCACGCAGGUACGCUGCAUCUCCAUCGAAACCAGCAAACACCACUCGCCCUCCUUCUCCCGAUUCUCGGAAAGAACCUUUCUUGUUCAUCUCGCCUGCGCGCUGGCAGCAUCGUCGGUGGUGCUGGCGUGUGUCGCGGUUUUAUUGCCGCUGAGAGCCUGCGACAAGAAUGGAAGAUGGAACGGGUGCUCAAAAAAUGAUAUGCUGACGCGGAGCGAGUCAGCGUGCACUCUGCCACUUCAAUGGCAUGCUUCGCCACGCACUGAUCUUCUCUUCGCCCCGUUGUGAUUCCCUGCUCAUUUGAGAUCUCAAAACGGGUCAUUGUAG